This 254-nucleotide ribosomal RNA is filed under the name uncultured bacterium. RNAcentral's name for it is "partial 16S ribosomal RNA". It matches the Rfam family "Bacterial small subunit ribosomal RNA", at positions 524 to 776 of the family's 1533-position model. The record is from RNAcentral.
GACGUAGGGCGCGAGCGUUGUCCGGAUUUAUUGGGCGUAAAGAGCUCGUAGGCGGCUUGUCGCGUCGACUGUGAAAACCCGUGGCUCAACCAUGUGGUCUGCAGUCGAUACGGGCAGGCUAGAAUUCGGUAGGGGAGACUGGAAUUCCUGGUGUAGCGGUGAAAUGCGCAGAUAUCAGGAGGAACACCGAUGGCGAAGGCAGGUCUCUGGGCCGAUACUGACGCUGAGGAGCGAAAGCGUGGGGAGCGAACAGG